RNAcentral lists this ribosomal RNA (581 nucleotides) under uncultured bacterium. Its description in RNAcentral is "bacterial SSU rRNA". It matches the Rfam family "Bacterial small subunit ribosomal RNA", at positions 31 to 582 of the family's 1533-position model. The record is from RNAcentral.
GAACGCUGGCGGCGUGCUACCUACAUGCUAAGUCGAACGUUUUUGUUAUUCACCGGAGCUGCUCCACCGAAAACAAAAGAGUGGCGGACGGGUGAAUAACACGUGGGUAACCUGCCCUCAAGCGGGGGAUAACACUUGGAAACAGGUGCUAAUACCGCAUAACAAUCAGAAUCGCAUGAUUUUGAUUUGAAAGGCGCUUUUGCGUCACUUGAGGAUGGACCCGCGGUGCAUUAGCUAGUUGGUGAGUGUAACGGCUCACCAAGGCCACGAUGCAUAGCCGACCUGAGAGGGUGAUCGGCCACACUGGGACUGAGACACGGCCCAGACUCCUACGGGAGGCAGCAGUAGGGAAUCUUCGGCAAUGGACGAAAGUCUGACCGAGCAACGCCGCGUGAGUGAAGAAGGUUUUCGGAUCGUAAAACUCUGUUGUUAGAGAAGAACAAGGGUGAGAGUAGAAUGUUCACCCCUUGACGGUAUCUAACCAGAAAGCCACGGCUAACUACGUGCCAGCAGCCGCGGUAAUACGUAGGUGGCAAGCGUUGUCCGGAUUUAUUGGGCGUAAAGCGAGCGCAGGCGGUCUC